RNAcentral lists this ribosomal RNA (269 nucleotides) under uncultured prokaryote. Its description in RNAcentral is "partial 16S ribosomal RNA". It matches the Rfam family "Bacterial small subunit ribosomal RNA", at positions 524 to 792 of the family's 1533-position model. The record is from RNAcentral.
UACGUAGGUGGCGAGCGUUGUCCGGAUUUAUUGGGUUUAAAGGGUGCGCAGGCGGGAGAUUAAGUCGGCGGUGAAAUUUUGCAGCUCAACUGUAAAAGUGCCUUCGAAACUGGUUUCCUUGAGUGUAGAUGAAGUAGGCGGAAUUUGUGGUGUAGCGGUGAAAUGCAUAGAUAUCACGAGGAACUCCGAUUGCGAAGGCAGCUUACUAAGCUACUACUGACGCUCAGGCACGAAGGCGUGGGGAUCAAACAGGAUUAGAUACCCUGGUA